ACCUGGUGCUGGGGGCAGCCGGUGCGGCCCCAGGGAGCCCCAGCCUAGUAACCUCGCCUCUCUUCUUGAACCACACCGGGCUGCCCCUGCUCAGUGCCCCACCAGGCGUGGGUCUGGUCUCAGCAGCGGCUGCAGCUGUGGCAGCGACCAUCUCCAGCAAGUCUCCUGGCCUCUCCUCCUCGUCUUCAUCCUCCUCCUCCUCCUCCACUUGCAGUGAAGUGGCAGCGCAGACCUCUGGAGGCCCGGGGGGACCCGAGGCAGGGUCCAAGGCCGAGUGAGAGCCCACCAUGCCUCCCCUCCUACUCCUCUGAGUCCCCUGACCUUGGUCCCCUGCCCAAGAGAGGGUGAGGAGGCUGGUGGGGGAUACAGUGGAUCCUCGGAGCAGGAGUGACGAAGGAGGAAAAGACCAAAAAUCCAACCAAAAACAAAAACAAACAAACAAACAAACAAAAGGAAACCAACCAACAAAAAAGAAAACCAAAAAAUGUUCACAACAGAAACCAGCUGCCCUAAAGGAACCAGAGAAGAAAAACAAAGAAAUGAACAAAAAAACACCUCCAAACUAACCAAACACCCCUACCCCCAAACCAAACAAACCAAAAACCAGUCUUGAGCCAGAUCUUGGAGUGCUCACUGCUAUGACACCAAAUAAGAACCCUCAGCCAGGAGCGGAGCGGCCUCCAGCAGGCCGGACCUCAUGCCGCAGAGCCCUGGCUGUGGGACCAACUCCUAACCUUACCCCACUGGGGGUGGGCAGAGAAGGAACCAGAGAAUGUGCCAGCGUGCUGGCCCAGCCCCAGCCCUGGGCCAAUAGAGACAGGCACUGCCUGGGGCAGGAGGCCCAGGGCCCAGAGCCACCUACCAAAUGGUCUUUUCCAGAAGGUAAAAGAGAAAGGACCCGAACAACCUUACACCAAAUACUCAGUAGCUUCAUCCAAAGGAUGUACAGAGUUUUUAGCGUUGCGCUCAACAGAAUGUGUGUCUAUUCUACGUGUUCCCUCUCCCCAGCCCCCCAGCUCUCCCCAACAGGGCAGGGGUCUUGCUUUAAACCCCCCUCCCAGCACCCCCAGCCUGGGGAGAGUUCAGAGGAAGGCCUAGGAAUGGACAUUUUUGUCCUCUGCUCCUUCCUUUCUCCCUUUGAAGGGUGGGCUAGGCCAUUUUUUUUUGCCGAGUUCCAGCUCUCAAAAGCCCCCUCCUCAGCCCCUGUCACCUUUCUGCUCUGGAGUCUACCUCCUCCCCAGCCUGUGGGAAGGUUGUGGGCUCGAGCAAAGGGGGAUGAGGUGAGGGCAUCCAAGUUGUCUUUCUUCCCAUCCUGUCUGUCAGUUUCCCUGAAAAAAAAAAAUCAUAUUCCAGUGCCUACCCGUGGGAUCUUCACGUUCUUUCACAUUAACCAGAAACCAAAAAGAUUAACUCUCCUUAUUCUGCCCACCCUAUGCCCCUUACGACACUGGCAGAUACCUCUCCCUUCCCCUUCCCUCCCCACCCUCCAAUGCACACUCGCACACAGCCCAGUGGUGGACUCCUCCGGAUGGCAUCUCCAUCAGGGACUGCGUGGUGGUGACAUCACCAUGACCUGUGGUUCCCCAUGCAAGCGGCCACCACUCCCACGAGACCUCCAGGAGUCUUGGCUGGACCUUAUAUUUGCCUAGCUCUGGACGUAUCU
Molecule: long non-coding RNA, 1663 nt
Filed under: Rattus norvegicus (Norway rat)
Lineage: Eukaryota; Metazoa; Chordata; Mammalia; Rodentia; Muridae
Description: long non-coding RNA NONRATT002398
Source: RNAcentral